AUUUCGUGUUAUUUUAAUUUAAUGAUCAAAAAAAAUGAUGAACUAUGCAUGGCCUAAAUAGUCUCUCAGAAAAACGAUAAUUUAGGGUUGAUAGUCAUAUACCAGCGACGUCGUCUAAAUGUUUAAAGAAUAAAAAAAAUUAAUAAAAUUAGUGCUUUGGGGGGUGACCACGAACUGCUUCACGUAAGCAAUCGUCUUGAAAAGUCAGUUUCUCGAUAACAACUAUUCCAGCUUUCUUGAGUAAAUCCACACCUUCACAUUUUACGAAUAUAUCAGGCUCCAGAGAUCCCAAAACUACCGUAGAAAACUUUUGCUUAACAAUAAGAUCUGUACAAGACACUUUUUUUGAUAACCGCUUGCUGCAAGGUUCCAUUGUACUGUACAUUAUAGCGCCCUCUAAAGAAUCAGUAGGAUUUUUAAGCAUAAAUUUUUCUAUAGCACAUUCCUCUGCAUGUGUGUUUCCUGGUCGUUCAC
Molecule: non-coding RNA, 474 nt
Organism: Schizosaccharomyces pombe (fission yeast)
Lineage: Eukaryota; Fungi; Ascomycota; Schizosaccharomycetes; Schizosaccharomycetales; Schizosaccharomycetaceae
Source: the annotation of a GenBank genome assembly